Molecule: small RNA, 98 nt
Filed under: Escherichia coli
Lineage: Bacteria; Pseudomonadati; Pseudomonadota; Gammaproteobacteria; Enterobacterales; Enterobacteriaceae
Description: RtT sRNA
Rfam family: RtT RNA
About the family: This family represents a bacterial cis-regulatory element known as RtT RNA.
Source: RNAcentral
AUGAGAACCUCCGGGGGCGGGGAGGUUCGACUCGAGCGAAGCGAGAGAACGUUGCGCCAGCAACGGCCCGCAGGGCGAGCCACGAAGUGGCGAGUAAN